UACGAAGGGGGCGAGCGUUGUUCGGAUUUACUGGGCGUAAAGGGCGCGCAGGCGGCUCAUUUUGUCAGGCGUGAAAGCCCCGGGCUUAACCUGGGAGGUGCGUUUGAUACGGAUGGGCUAGAGUUCGGGAGAGGAGAGUGGAAUUCCCAGUGUAGAGGUGAAAUUCGUAGAUAUUGGGAAAAACACCGGUGGCGAAGGCGGCUCUCUGGACCGAGACUGACGCUGAGGCGCGAAAGCGUGGGGAGCAAACAGG
RNAcentral lists this ribosomal RNA (253 nucleotides) under uncultured bacterium. RNAcentral describes it as "partial 16S ribosomal RNA". It matches the Rfam family "Bacterial small subunit ribosomal RNA", at positions 524 to 776 of the family's 1533-position model. The record is from RNAcentral.